UACGUAGGGGGCAAGCGCUGUCCGGAUUUAUUGGGCGUAAAGCGCGCGCAGGCGGUCUUUUAAGUCUGAUGUGAAAGCCCACGGCUCAACCGUGGAAGGUCAUUGGAAACUGGGAGACUUGAGUGUAGGAGAGGAAAGUGGAAUUCCACGUGUAGCGGUGAAAUGCGUAGAGAUGUGGAGGAACACCAGUGGCGAAGGCGACUUUCUGGCCUAUAACUGACUCUGAGGCGCGAAAGCGUGGGGAGCAAACAGG
This 253-nucleotide ribosomal RNA is filed under the name uncultured bacterium. Its description in RNAcentral is "partial 16S ribosomal RNA". It matches the Rfam family "Bacterial small subunit ribosomal RNA", at positions 524 to 776 of the family's 1533-position model. The record is from RNAcentral.